ACUAAACAUUAGACGUCUUAUGGACGUGCAGAUCAUGUCUAUAUUGCGUCGGUCGGUCCAAGACCAAUUCUGUACGUCUACACGACGUGCAAACUAGGUCCGCUAUUUGGACGUCUAACUAUGACCCCACUUGGACGUCAAUAUGCAGUUAAACAUUUGAACGUCGGACUAGGUCACUUUUUUGGACGUCAUGGGGACGUCUAAUACAGGUGCAGGAAAUUAACAUUAUUUAAGAAUAUAUUUAUUUUUAAAUGUAUGUCAAAAUUGUUGUUAUCAAUAUUGUUAAUCACUAUGAAUAUAGAUUAUUUAUGAUUAAGCAUCAUUUAUUUCUAAUUAUUUAUUUGAGUAUUAUAUUUUUUAUCUAUUUAAUUAAUUAACGAAUGUAGGUAUUUAUUUACGUAUGUUUUUAUUUUUAUUUGGAAAUGCAAUUUAUGUGGAAAAUUGUUAAGUUGAUUUCAACCAGUCAACGCCACUCUGAUUUGCUGAGACCGCACGUCAUCAUAAACUCCACUCUGAUAUGCCGAGGCAAAACACGCUAAACAUUUUUUGGCUGCUGCAGUAGCUCAGCUCAGCUCAGCUCAGCUCAUUCAGUUCAGCUCGCUCAGCUCAGCUCCGCUCCGGACCGGACUCAGCUGCCAAGCUAUAAGAUGGAGUCAUGAAAUGUGACGGGACAGCCACCGAGGACUUCAUACUUCGGAGCAUCUCAAACAUGCACCACAAAGACGUGGAGGACACACCGCUGUCUCUCAGGACCUAGAAUCUUAAUGAAAGUAUAAUGAUGUUAAGGGAAGGUGUAAUGGAAAGGUGUAAUGUAAAGUUGUAAUGGUGUUAAGGGAAGGUGUAGUGGAAAGGUGUGAUAGUGUUGAGGGAAGGUGUAAUAGUGUUGAGGGAAGGGGUAAUGUUAAAGGUGUAAUAGUGUUGAGGGAAGGUGUAAUGUUAAAGGUGUAAUAGUGUUAAGGGAAGGUAUAAUAUUGUUAAGGGAAGGUGUAAUGCAGGGGUCUCAAACUCAUUUUUGCCGAGGGCCACAUUGACAUAUUGGCUGUCCUCUGAGGGCCAGAUGUAACUUACAAAUAUAAGAAAAUGUAACCAGAUGUAAUAUAAAAUGAAUGUAAUUACUCCUUAAUGUUAAAUAACUCUCAAUAUACUAUUUAUUCAAUCAAAUAUUACAGUUGCAUGGAAAAAUGUUUGCUUGUUGCUCUAUUAACAUAAAUCCUUUUAAUUUGUCAUGUUAUGAAAUCCAAAAACUCCAUCAAUCAAGAACCAAACUAUUCAAGUGAAUAGAAAUUACAUCAAGUACAAGUUAUAUUAACUUUGAUCAAAACGUUUGAUACUGAAAUAAGGCUUAAUAAAUAUAAAAUCAAAAAUUGUGAGCUGUUAAGAACAUAGCAUUUCCUCAGAUUUAGCAGUUCCUCAUCCAACCACUAGUCGGAGCUGCAGCUGCAGCACCACAAGCCCGCAGUCUUUGCUUAGUCAGAGCUACAGCCCAGCCACGGGCUACAGGACUCAGCUGAGCCUGUCUGGAGCGUUUUGAAUUUUUUUAAGUUCUUCUGUGUAUGAAAUAAAAUAACCCCACUAACCGGAUAAUACAGCUCUCUACAGUUCAUCUUUCAGCCCAAGCAGCUAACAGCAGCAGUUUAGAGCAGCGUCACGGAGUCACUGCUCGGAUUACAUUAUAAACAGGUCAGUUAGCGCGCUGCUAACCUCAGGAUGUUUAUAACUACGGAGUUUAGUGGACACACCACGGCAGCAAGGUUAGACUGUUGAAGGCUACUGAAGACUACUAAAGCAGGCAACGCAGCGUAAGCAAAAAAAAAAAAAAAAAAAAACACACACACACACCAAAAUACAAGUUAAGAUAAAAUAUGAAAACGAACAUUAUAAAGCAUAAAUAAUUAAAUUGAAUUGCGGGCCAGAUGUAUGUUUAUUUUGUUAACCCGUGAGGGGCCGUAUGAAACCGCGUGGGCCGGUACUUUGAGACCCCUGGUGUAAUGUAAAGGUGUAAUAGUUUUGAGGGAAGGUGUAAUAGUGUUGAGGGAAGGUGUAAUGUUAAAGGUGUAAUAGUGUUAAGGGAAGGUAUAAUAUUGUUAAGGGAAGGUGUAAUGUAAAGCUGUAAUAGUUUUAAGGGAAGGUAAAUGUUUAGUGAAAUUGUUAUGGUGUGAAUCUAAGGUGUAUGUUAUGUUGAUGUAAAAUAAAGGCAUUAACCCCAAAUGAGAUUUACUCAUUAUGUUUAUUAUUAUAUUAAUGUUUCCCCAAACAGAAAGGGUCAAUUUAAAAUCAACAGUGGUAAGAUGGGGGUAAUUAAUUUAUCCCUUGCUUUUACUGGUUCUUUGCAGGUUGACAUGUUUUGAAAAAAGUGAGAGGGUUGAAAUGCAAUUUAUUUGUAAAGCAUAUUGUGUAUAACUAACGUGCAUAACUAGUUCCAGAAGGUUGUGAACCUGUUCCAGUAAUUGUUUGGCUUAGCUUUGUAUACGUUUCCAGUUAACUGCUGAAGCUGGAACAAUGGAACAGUUGCCACCGUCUGAAAUGGCACUACAGUUAUGCAGGGAGCCUCAAAGUAGUUGGUCUAUAAAACGUAUACAUGUAAAUUUCACGUAGAAAAGACGUCCACAACGACUUAAUUUAAACUAGAAUUAGCCCUUAUCCGGAGGUCUGGGGGACGUCAAUACUGGACGUGCAGAAGACGUCAGAAAAAAGACGUCGUCUGGCGUCACAGUCUGCACCUUCAGGAGACCAAAAUUGGACGUGCAAAAAUGACCUAGAAAAGACGUCGUUUCAACGUCUCUUUGUUUAGUG
This is a long non-coding RNA of Astyanax mexicanus (Mexican tetra), 2793 nucleotides long. RefSeq lists it as uncharacterized. Lineage: Eukaryota; Metazoa; Chordata; Actinopteri; Characiformes; Acestrorhamphidae. The record is from RefSeq and is a predicted model, not a curated record. The transcript is spliced from 3 exons.